CUUUAGUCUCUCUAACACUGUGGCAUGUUCCCUUUCUUCUACACUCACUACAUUCAGCUUUUCUCUGUCCCAGACUAUAUACCAGGAGAUCUGCCUGCUAGUAAGAAGGUAAGGAGACAAGUGGACCAGCGAGUGCUAGGGGACAGUCCUUAGAAAGCGUGGAGUAGGCGCAUCAUUUGAUGCAUUUAUAUCAAGCUUAGGGUGCUGUCUG
This is a non-coding RNA of Pelobates cultripes (western spadefoot toad), 211 nucleotides long. The record is from the annotation of a GenBank genome assembly. NCBI's taxonomy places the organism in Eukaryota, Metazoa, Chordata, Amphibia, Anura, Pelobatidae.